Molecule: ribosomal RNA, 468 nt
Filed under: uncultured bacterium
Lineage: Bacteria
Description: partial 16S ribosomal RNA
Rfam family: Bacterial small subunit ribosomal RNA
Source: RNAcentral
GACGAACGCUGGCGGCGUGCUUAACACAUGCCAGUCGAACGGAAAGGCCCUGCUUUUGUGGGGUGCUCGAGUGGCGAACGGGUGAGUAACACGUGAGUAACCUGCCCUUGACUUUGGGAUAACUUCAGGAAACUGGGGCUAAUACCGGAUAGGAGCUCCUGCUGCAUGGUGGGGGUUGGAAAGUUUCGGCGGUUGGGGAUGGACUCGCGGCUUAUCAGCUUGUUGGUGGGGGAGUGGCUUACCAAGGCUUUGACGGGUAGCCGGCCUGAGAGGGUGACCGGCCACAUUGGGACUGAGAUACGGCCCAGACUCCUACGGGAGGCAGCAGUGGGGAAUAUUGCACAAUGGGCGGAAGCCUGAUGCAGCAACGCCGCGGGCGGGAUGACGGCCUUCGGGUUGUAAACCGCUUUCGCCUGUGACGAAGCGUGAGUGACGGUAAUGGGUAAAGAAGCACCGGCUAACUACGUG